Molecule: ribosomal RNA, 468 nt
Filed under: uncultured bacterium
Lineage: Bacteria
Description: partial 16S ribosomal RNA
Rfam family: Bacterial small subunit ribosomal RNA
Source: RNAcentral
GACGAACGCUGGCGGCGUGCUUAACACAUGCAAGUCGAACGGAAAGGCCCUGCUUUUGUGGGGAUCUCGAGUGGCGAACGCGUGAGUAACACGUGAGUAACCUGCCCUUCACUUUGGGAUGACUUCAGGAAACUGGGGCUAAUCCCAGAUAGGAGCUCCUGCUGCAUGGAGGGGAUUGGAUAGUCUCGGCGGUUGCGGAUGGACUGGCGGCUUAUGAGCUUGUUGGUGGGGUAGCGGCUUGCCCAGGCUGUGACGGAUCGCCGGCCUGAGAGGGUGAACGGCGACCAGGGGACUAAGAGAGGGACCAGAGGGCAACGGGAGGCAGUAGUCGGGAAUAUGGCACAACGGGCCGAAGCCGGAGGAAGAAACGCUCGGGUCGGGAUGACGGCCUUCGGGGUGUAAAACGCUUUAGCCUGUGACGAAGCGGGAGUGACGGUAAUGGAUAAAGAAGCACCGGCUAACUACGUG